RNAcentral lists this non-coding RNA (746 nucleotides) under Pseudothemis zonata. Lineage: Eukaryota; Metazoa; Arthropoda; Insecta; Odonata; Libellulidae. The record is from RNAcentral.
UAAAAGUUUUAUUCUUGCUUAAAUAUUUAUUUUAGGAUUGUAUCACAUAUAAUAUUUUAUUAAUUAUUACUUUUGUAGUGAUAAAUAUUAUUAAUUAAUGAAAGUUAGAAAUAGCAAUUUCUAUUUUCCCGGUUAAAAUCGUGCCAGCCACCGCGGUUAUACGUGAGGUAUUAAUAAAUAUUAUUGGUUUUAGUAGUUAAAUUUAUGAUUCCUUUAAAAUUGAAAUUUUUAGGUGAAAUUUUAAUUUUAUUAUAAAAGGUUUAUUUUGAAGCUAUGAAAUUUAAAUUAAAAACGAGGAUUAGAUACCCUUUUAUUUUAAAUGUUAAUAUUAACCUGGGUAGUAUUAGUUAAGUUCUUGAAACCCAAAGAAUUUGGCGGUAUUUUAUUCUUUUUAGAGGAACCUGUCCUGUAAUUGAUAAUCCACGAUGAAUAAUUACUUACUUUUGUGUUCAGUUUGUAUACCUCCGUCAUCAGAUUAUCUUUUUAGAGAUAAUAUUCUUUAUAUAUAAAAUAUAGUAUGUCAGGUCAAGGUGCAAUUUAUGGGUAAGUAGAGAUGGGUUACAAUAAGAUUACUUAAACGGAUUAUUAUUUUUAUAAAUAAUAUGAAGGAGGAUUUAAAAGUAAAAUUAUUUUCUUAUUAAUUUGAUUUUAGCUCUAAAAUAUGCACACAUCGCCCGUCACUCUUAUUUUAAAAUAAGAUAAGUCGUAACAUAGUAGAGGUACCGGAAGGUGUUUCUAGUAAGUAU